GACGAACGCUGGCGGCGUGCUUAACACAUGCAAGUCGAACGGAAAGGCCCUGCUUUUGUUGGGCGCUCGAGUGGCGAACGGGUGAGUAACACGUGAGUAACCUGCCCUUGACUUUGGGAUAACUUCAGGAAACUGGGGCUAAUACCGGAUAUGAGCUCCUGCUGCAUGGUGGGGGUUGGAAAGUUUCGGCGGUUGUGGAUGGACUGGCGGCUUAUCAGCUUGUUGGGCGGGUAGGGGCUUACAAGGGCUUUGAAGGGUAGCCGGCCUGAGAGGGUGACCGGCCACCAUGGGCCUGCGAUACGCACCAGACUCGUACGGGAGGCAGCAGUCGGGAAUAUUGCACAACGGGCCGAAGCCUGAUGCAGAAACGCCGCGUGCGGGAUGCCGUCUUUCGGGUUGUAAACCGCUGUCGCAGGUGACGAAGCGUGAGUGACGGUAAUGGGUCAAGAAGCACCGGCUAACUACGUG
This 468-nucleotide ribosomal RNA is filed under the name uncultured bacterium. Its description in RNAcentral is "partial 16S ribosomal RNA". It matches the Rfam family "Bacterial small subunit ribosomal RNA", at positions 28 to 507 of the family's 1533-position model. The record is from RNAcentral.